Molecule: long non-coding RNA, 354 nt
Organism: Teleopsis dalmanni
Lineage: Eukaryota; Metazoa; Arthropoda; Insecta; Diptera; Diopsidae
Exons: 3
Source: RefSeq, a predicted model, not a curated record
AUCUAGAAACCCAGGUGUUUGACAAAACUAUAAGAUUUUAUCGAAAUGUCGUACAACUCUGAAUGAGAAUAAGGUAGACCUUACUAUAAAACGUAAUGUUGAAGCUGUUUGCCGUAUUUAAAAGUGAUUGAUGUAUAAAUGCAAUUUCGUAAAACAAAAAACUUUGACGCAUCGAAUAUAUUAGGAACCCUCUCCGUCGGAUGACUUGCAAGUGAUAGUGAGGAAAUUAUCAAAUUCAAACAUUUUUCAAUUUUUAACCAAGCCCAGAAUUCGUCUGACCAUACAGAUGUUUCGGUAACCGCCUAUCAUCUUUUGGAAAUAUUUGUUGAUUUUAUUGUUCGUGCAUAUUUUUAG